CCGGCAGGCCGGUCCGUCGCUCCUGCACUCAGGUGCCGGGGAGGAAAGUCCGGGCAACGCAGAGCACCAUCCUUCCUAACGGGAAGAUAUCCGAAAGGGUAUAGCAGUGUAACAGAAAAGAACAGUCCCGCUCCGCGGGUCAAUGGUGAAAAGGUGAGGUAAGAGCUCACCGGUUCUGGUGGUGACACCGGGAGCCGUACACCUGAUGGGUUGAAAGACCAUGUAUACCGGCGUCUGAGGGCUGCUCGCCCGAGCCGGGGGGUAGGUCGUAUGACCGCGCCAGCAAUGACGGGGCAAGAUAAAUGACGGACAGGGAACAAAAUCCUUUACUGGAACCGUCUCCCGACAGAACCCGGCUUACAGGUCUGCCUUUGAU
This 376-nucleotide RNase P RNA is filed under the name Bacteroidales bacterium. RNAcentral describes it as "RNase P RNA component class A". It matches the Rfam family "Bacterial RNase P class A". Rfam says of the family: Ribonuclease P (RNase P) is a ubiquitous endoribonuclease, found in archaea, bacteria and eukarya as well as chloroplasts and mitochondria. Its best characterised activity is the generation of mature 5'-ends of tRNAs by cleaving the 5'-leader elements of precursor-tRNAs. Lineage: Bacteria; Pseudomonadati; Bacteroidota; Bacteroidia; Bacteroidales. The record is from RNAcentral.